Molecule: ribosomal RNA, 511 nt
Filed under: uncultured bacterium
Lineage: Bacteria
Description: partial 16S ribosomal RNA
Rfam family: Bacterial small subunit ribosomal RNA
Source: RNAcentral
GACAAACGCUGGCGGCAUGCCUAACACAAGCAAGUCGAACGGACAGAACAGGGAAGCUUUUCGGAGUGGAACUGGAAAGUUAGUGGCGGAUGGGUGAGUAACGCGUGGACAACCUACCUUGUAAAGGGGAAUAACCUCGAGAAAUCGAAGCUAAUACCCCAUAAUAACCUUGCUUCGCAUGAAGUAAGGAGGAAAGGCGGCCUUAGCGCUGUCGAUACAAGAUGGGUCCGCGUCUGAUUAGCUAGUUGGUGAGGUAAAGGCUCACCAAGGCGACGAUCAGUAGCCGGCCUGAGAGGGUGAACGGCCACAUUGGGACUGAGACACGGCCCAAACUCCUACGGGAGGCAGCAGUGGGGAAUCUUCCGCAAUGGGCGAAAGCCUGACGGAGCAAUGCCGCGUGAGUGAAGAAGGCCUUCGGGUUGUAAAACUCUGUCCUUAUCGAAGAGAGAGUGUUGUAGUAACUGACAAUACUAGGACGGUAGAUGAGGAGGAAGCCCCGGCUAACUAUGUG